This 253-nucleotide ribosomal RNA is filed under the name uncultured bacterium. RNAcentral's name for it is "partial 16S ribosomal RNA". It matches the Rfam family "Bacterial small subunit ribosomal RNA", at positions 524 to 776 of the family's 1533-position model. The record is from RNAcentral.
UACGUAGGGAGCAAGCGUUGUCCGGAAUCAUUGGGCGGAAAGCGCGCGUAGGCGGCCCUGUAAGUCCGCUGUGAAAGUCAAAGGCUCAACCUUUGAAUGCCGGUGGAUACUGCAGGGCUAGAGUCCGGAAGAGGCAAGUGGAAUUCCUGGUGUAGCGGUGGAAUGCGCAGAUAUCAGGAGGAACACCAACGGCGAAGGCCGCUUGCUGGGACGGUACUGACGCUAAGGCGCGAAAGCGUGGGGAGCGAACAGG